CUUAAUUGGGCGUUAAGUUGCAGGGUAUAGACCCGAAACCCGGUGAUCUAGCCAUGGGCAGGUUGAAGGUUGGGUAACACUAACUGGAGGACCGAACCGACUAAUGUUGAAAAAUUAGCGGAUGACCUGUGGCUGGGGGUGAAAGGCCAAUCAAACCGGGAGAUAGCUGGUUCUCCCCGAAAGCUAUUUAGGUAGCGCCUCGUGAAUUCAUCUCCGGGGGUAGAGCACUGUUUCGGCUAGGGGGCCAUCCCGGCUUACCAACCCGAUGCAAACUGCGAAUACCGGAGAAUGUUAUCACGGGAGACACACGGCGGGUGCUAACGUCCGUCGUGAAGAGGGAAACAACCCAGACCGCCAGCUAAGGUCCCAAAGUCAUGGUUAAGUGGGAAACGAUGUGGGAAGGCCCAGACAGCCAGGAUGUUGGCUUAGAAGCAGCCAUCAUUUAAAGAAAGCGUAAUAGCUCACUGGUCGAGUCGGCCUGCGCGGAAGAUGUAACGGGGCUAAACCAUGCACCGAAGCUGCGGCAGCGACACUGUGUGUUGUUGGGUAGGGGAGCGUUCUGUAAGCCUGCGAAGGUGGCCUGUGAGGGUUGCUGGAGGUAUCAGAAGUGCGAAUGCUGACAUAAGUAACGAUAAAGCGGGUGAAAAGCCCGCUCGCCGGAAGACCAAGGGUUCCUGUCCAACGUUAAUCGGGGCAGGGUGAGUCGACCCCUAAGGCGAGGCCGAAAGGCGUAGUCGAUGGGAAACGGGUUAAUAUUCCCGUACUUGGUGUUACUGCGAAGGGGGGACGGAGAAGGCUAUGUUGGCCGGGCGACGGUUGUCCCGGUUUAAGCGUGUAGGUGUGUGUUCCAGGUAAAUCCGGUUCACUUUAACACUGAGGCGUGACGACGAGGCACUACGGUGCUGAAGCAACAAAUGCCCUGCUUCCAGGAAAAGCCUCUAAGCAUCAGGUAACAUCAAAUCGUACCCCAAACCGACACAGGUGGUCAGGUAGAGAAUACCAAGGCGCUUGAGAGAACUCGGGUGAAGGAACUAGGCAAAAUGGUGCCGUAACUUCGGGAGAAGGCACGCUGACACGUAGGUGAAGUGAUUUACUCAUGGAGCUGAAGUCAGUCGAAGAUACCAGCUGGCUGCAACUGUUUAUUAAAAACACAGCACUGUGCAAACACGAAAGUGGACGUAUACGGUGUGACGCCUGCCCGGUGCCGGAAGGUUAAUUGAUGGGGUCAGCGCAAGCGAAGCUCCUGAUCGAAGCCCCGGUAAACGGCGGCCGUAACUAUAACGGUCCUAAGGUAGCGAAAUUCCUUGUCGGGUAAGUUCCGACCUGCACGAAUGGCGUAAUGAUGGCCAGGCUGUCUCCACCCGAGACUCAGUGAAAUUGAACUCGCUGUGAAGAUGCAGUGUACCCGCGGCAAGACGGAAAGACCCCGUGAACCUUUACUAUAGCUUGACACUGAACAUUGAGCCUUGAUGUGUAGGAUAGGUGGGAGGCUUUGAAGUGUGGACGCCAGUCUGCAUGGAGCCGACCUUGAAAUACCACCCUUUAAUGUUUGAUGUUCUAACGUGGACCCGUUACCCGGGUUGCGGACAGUGUCUGGUGGGUAGUUUGACUGGGGCGGUCUCCUCCUAAAGAGUAACGGAGGAGCACGAAGGUUGGCUAAUCCUGGUCGGACAUCAGGAGGUUAGUGCAAUGGCAUAAGCCAGCUUGACUGCGAGCGUGACGGCGCGAGCAGGUGCGAAAGCAGGUCAUAGUGAUCCGGUGGUUCUGAAUGGAAGGGCCAUCGCUCAACGGAUAAAAGGUACUCCGGGGAUAACAGGCUGAUACCGCCCAAGAGUUCAUAUCGACGGCGGUGUUUGGCACCUCGAUGUCGGCUCAUCACAUCCUGGGGCUGAAGUAGGUCCCAAGGGUAUGGCUGUUCGCCAUUUAAAGUGGUACGCGAGCUGGGUUUAGAACGUCGUGAGACAGUUCGGUCCCUAUCUGCCGUGGGCGCUGGAGAACUGAGGGGGGCUGCUCCUAGUACGAGAGGACCGGAGUGGACGCAUCACUGGUGUUCGGGUUGUCAUGCCAAUGGCACUGCCCGGUAGCUAAAUGCGGAAGAGAUAAGUGCUGAAAGCAUCUAAGCACGAAACUUGCCCCGA
This 2138-nucleotide ribosomal RNA is filed under the name Salmonella enterica subsp. enterica serovar Enteritidis. RNAcentral describes it as "partial 23S ribosomal RNA". It matches the Rfam family "Bacterial large subunit ribosomal RNA", at positions 683 to 2802 of the family's 2925-position model. The record is from RNAcentral. Lineage: Bacteria; Pseudomonadati; Pseudomonadota; Gammaproteobacteria; Enterobacterales; Enterobacteriaceae.